AUCAACUUCAGAUUCGAAAUUUCUAAAUAUUGGAAAAACACGAAGAGGGGCUUUCUUGAAAACAGUGAGCCCAUAGACUUCAUCCAUGUCUAAAUUCUCGGCAAUUUCACCGUCAGGUAAUUUCCAAUCGAACCAGUACAAAAGAUUAGCAACCAGAUCAACAAUGAAGGCCACUGCAAACGCCAUUCCGGGACGUCCCUUCGGCCGAAACCAAAUGGGAUGUACUCAAAAUCUUGAUUUUUGAAAUCAGAUGAGCUUUUCUCGAAUCUUUCUGGGAUAAACUCUUCUGGUUUCUCCCACACUUCGGGGUACCUAUGAAUCGCCCAGGAAUUAAAGAAAACCGUGAUAUUUGAAGGAAUAUCGUAACCUCCGAGGUUAAUCUUUGACGUUGUUCGUCCAGGAAUAAGGAGUGGAACAGCUGGAUGAAGCCUUAAAGUUUCUUUGAUUACACAUUUUAAGUAAUUCAUUUCAUCUACAUCCUUCAUAUCUAUCUUUGCUUUCUUUCCAACCCCAUUUCUUAUCUCUUUUUGAAACUUUUUCAUGACGUUUGGGUUUUUCAUUAGUUCAGCCAUUACCCAUUCUAGCAUUGUUGAAGUUGUACCAGUUCCACCAACAAACAUAUCCUGAAAAAAAGAAACAUAUAUCUGAGUCGGACAUAAAUAUCAGCCAUGACAAAUAUAAACAUAACAUUAAAAGAGAAUGAAAAUAAUAAUAAAUAAGGACCAGUAUGAUUGCUUUGAUGUUGUCUGGAGUGAGGUCUAUCUCAAGCAAGCCAUUUUCUUGGAGUUUGAGCAGAAUAGAAAAAAAGUUCCUUUCUCAAUUGUUUUGAGAAGAUCUAUCUUCUUCACGGAUCUGAUAUCAAAUUUGUUUUUAACUUGUUUCAAGCUUGAUAUUAAUCCUCGAAGAACAUCAACCCACUUCAAGUAAGGAAACAUGUCGCCAACACAAAAAGUCAUUCGAAACCAGGUUAUUCGAAGCAACCAUCAGCAACUCCGUCAGGUUAACAGCCUCUCCCUUGAAAGAAGCUCGGCGGAGUUUAUCAAUGGUGACUUCAACUUCAUCAUCUCUCAAGAACUGAAAGGUGUUAACUCUUCGAAGACUCAAAAGCUCAGUGACACGCACCUUCCUAGCUUGUCUCCAAUACUCAUCAUACAGUGCGAAAGCCACAUCGGUGCAACCGUAAGAAAAGAUGUUAGCGGCAGUGGUACUUGGUCUAUCUGAGAAAGCAACAUCAUGAUUUUUGACAAUUUCUUUAACCAUGUCGGCUGAUGAAACCACCAGCGUCUGGUUAUGGCCCAAUUGAAGUAGCAAGAGUGAGCCAUAUUUCCUGGAGAGAUCUCGGAGGGAGCGGUGGGGAAGCUUGCCGAGUUAUGGAUGUUGCCGAUGACUGGGAGUUUGAGGGGUGAUGGCGGUAACUUAAGUCUUUUUCGGCCAUUUGUUUGUAACUUAAGCCAAAUCAUAAGGGUAAACAGGGGAAGAACAAGACAUAGAAACAAUGGAGUGCUGGGAUGUUUAGCUACACUCAACUCCAUCUGCAAAUCUAAACAAUGAAUGAAACCCAGCACUUGGCCCUUCUUAUAGUCUUUCCAGAUGGUCAUCAUUUUCGGGAAGUUCAUUAUAGUUUAUGCCUGCAUAGGUCUAGGAUUAGCAUUAUUUUCCACUGAAAGAUCAUUUCAAAUAUCUUUCGAAAGGGACGUUCCCACUAUUUUACGUCAUCAUUGUUCAGAAAAGUUUUAGAAAUGCACAUUUAUUAAUAACUCCACUAACUAAUAUUAAUAUUUUAUAAUGCUAGUGGUGUUACAUUUUAAUGUAUUUUUAUUAUGAUAACAUUGAAAAAACAUAAAAGAGAAAACUCCACUAGCUAAUAUAAUGUAGUGAUGUAGCCAAAAUUUGAUCUUCAAAUUACAUGAAUAGUCUUUGUCAUGUAUAAUAUUCUUUGUGCUUUACAUGGGGUGUGAAAUUAAUAUUUUUUUACUUUAAUGCAUGUACACGUAUCGUUAGUAAUGAUAUGUUAUCUAAGCGAACUCUUUUCUGCAACCACCAACAAUGUUAUCUGCAGAAUCGCUUUAGGAAGAAAAUACAGUCAAUAUACCAACAAGUUUCGCAAGCUUUUGAGUGUGCAAACUUUCUAGUGAUAAAUGACUUGUUACUGCUUUGUAUAGUGAAUUUCAUGACUUUUCUGAUAUUAUCGUAACUUAUAUUCAAUGAUCUCAUAUUGAAUGAUCUCAUGCUAUUGAAUAUAUUUUAUCACUCGUAUAUGGAUAUGUAUAAGCUCACUUGUUAAAUGAUUGUAGUUGACAUAGAUUAUUGUUUGUUAAUCUUGUUAAUGUAAUUGUUAUGUUUAUACGUUAAGUUUUAUCGUUUUAACGGUUAAAUUUACUAAGCUCUAUUAAAGUUUACUCGUGUAUUUUUCUCUUUUUUUUUGUAGAAUAUUACAUUUUUAUAGAAUUGAGUGAUCGGAUCAAAUCAAAGAAUCACACUAUUUAGAUAUCUUUUUGGUAGUUUUUGAUAUGUUUAUCUUUGGGUUAUAUAGCAUGUAAUAGGUGUAUUUUGUAUUUUUGUUGAAUACAUAUUUUUAUGUGUUACAUAUUUGGUUGAUGUAAAGUUGUUUAAACUUGGUUUUAGAUCACUUAUGUAUGGGCCUUUUUUGUGUUUGGAAUGAAGUGUGCAUAUAACCUUGGUGUUUGGUUAGUUGAUAUAAAUCAUUUGGAAAUGUUUGAAUUGUGGUAGGAUUGAAUAUGAAUAGAUAGAAUAAAAUGGUAAGUUGGUAUGUGUUUUUAUGUUUAAACUCAUAAGUUAGAAUGUAACUUAUUUGAUAUGACUUGUGGAUAAGUUUGUUAAUUGAAUUGUGUUGUCAAUGAAGGCACAUUGGUUAGGCACUUAGAUUGGAUGAUUUUGGUAUGUUUCGGGCUUGUUUAGGUGUGUUUUGAAUAGGUUUAAUUAUUGGUAAAUGAGUUGUUUGAUGUUCAAGUAAGCAUGUUUUGGUAAGCUUGCAUUUGAAGGAAAAAUUAGGGGCAUGCGGCUUGGGACACAACCUAUCACACAAUCCUGUGCUGCACAUGGUCUCUUUACACGGUCGUGUGUUCCAAGUCAGUGGAAUUACACGGUCUGCGAUACAAUUAUGUAACCCAACAUUGAAUUAAACAGGUCUAGCAAACGGCCUGCGACAUGGACAUGUGAGGGUAUUUCGAAUGUUACAUGGUCGGCACACAGCCUGCGACACGACCAUGUGAAUUUAUUUUGAAAGUUACGUGGUUAAUCACAUGGCCAUUUCCUUGUGCCACACGGUCAUGUGACCCCUAUUUUCAAAAUUUUUUGAAUUUUUUUUAAAACUUUCACUUUUGUUUCAAAUUAGUCUCUAAUUGUUCCUAAAUUGUUUUUAAAGCCCUGUAAGCCUGAUUUAAGGUUUGUAACCGUAUUUAUGCUAUGAAUGACAUUUGAGUUUGAUUAUUUGUUAUUUAAUUUGAUAUUUGGAUGGUUAAAUGUUAAUAAUUGUUAUGAUAUGUGUCGUAAUACUCUAUAACCCUAAUUCAGCAAUGGAGACGGGUUAGGGGUGCUACAACCAUAAUUUAAUCGAAAAACCUGAUAUUAUAAUAAUAUAUUAAACAACAACAUAUUAGGAAAAAGAAAAAAAUAAGUGGAAUAAAUAAAGAACAUAAUUUAUGCAAAAAUAUUUACCUAAAGGAAGAUAAUUUGUAUUUUUUUUUACUCUAUGCUCUUAGUCUCGACAUCAAACUCCUUUCUUUUUCUCUCAGUGGUGUCGACAAAAAAAUCAAAAUACAAUAAAGUCACUAACCUAAUAUGUAUGAGUAUGGGCCAAAUCAAUUAAUUUUGGAAUUUUGCUUUAAGGUUCAUAUUGAGCCUCUAAGAUUAGUCUUUUUAAGACCCAUCAUACAUGAAUAUUUAAUUAUUAUUAAAGUUAUAUAAUUAAAAUCUAAAAAAUAAUUUAUUAAUAUAAAAUAUAACCUUAUGGCUUAAAGGGAUGAAUUUUAUGAAAUAUAAUUUGGCCAAUGGGGCGAAUGUUAUUCAAUGUGGACACCAAAUUUAAAAUACAUAAUAACUUAUAUAUAAAAUUUAAAAAUCUAAAAAUUCCAAGGGGAGCAUUCUAUAUUAUUUUUAACUAAUUUGCAUGAAAUAAUAGUAAUAGAAAUAUUAAAAAAAAAUUAUAAAGUUAGUUUGUUAUUGUACAUUCUAAUGUAAGUCAACUGCAAAUUAGAUUUAUAAAUUUGCAUGAAAUAAUAGUUAUCGAAAUAUUAAAAAAAAAAAAGUUAUAAAGUUGGUUUGUUAAUGGACAUUCUAACAUAAGUCAACUACAAAUUAGAUAUAUAAAAUCUAUUAUAAUCGUAAGAUUACAAAGAUUUUAGAGUGCUAAAAAAUGUUGUUUGGGAAGAUACAAACUAAGGAAAAAAUUGCAUUUGGUAAUCCAAUAAUAUUUGUUAUUUGUUUUAUUUUACUUAUAAAUUAUUCAAAUUCUUAUAUAUGUUGUUUUAGAAAGAAGUUACAGUAAAUGCUAGUUUUGUAAAUAUCAUAUCACUUGAGAAAAUUCAGCUAAACACAAGCAUUAAAUACAACUAACAUAUUAACAUGAUGUUUAUUUUUCAUGCAGCAAUAAAUAUGAAAUGCAACAACAACUAGAUAAAAUUAUAAAUGCUGUUUAUUUUUCUUAAUACUUGUAUUGUUAAUUGUUGAUUACUUUCUUGAACUAACAUAUUAUAUACAUACCAUGAUUUGAUUUUAAUUUAUUUUAAUUAAUAUUUUUUUAUUAAAAAAUUUAUAAUUUAUAUUACCAAAUACAAUAACAUUACAUUAGCAAACAUAUCUAAUAAAUUAUAAUUAUAAAAAGAUAUAAUUAAACUUUCAUGUAAUUACUGUCAUAUUUUUAUUAUUAAGUAGGAUAAACUGGUGGGUUAUACAAACUAAUUUAUAUUAGAUCUAAUUAGAGAAUAUAAGCAGCGAUCAAUUGAGUGGAAAAAAGUUACACCCGAUCAACUUGAGAUUCGAAAUUUCUAAAUAUGGGAAAAACACGAAGAGGGGCUUUCUUGAAAACAGUGAGCCCAUGGCCUUCAUCCAUGUCUAAAUUCUCGGCAUUUUCACCGUCAGGUAAUUUCCAAUCGAACCAGUACAGAAGAUUAGCAACCAGAUCAACAAUGAAGGCCACUGCAAACGCCAUUCCGGGACAACCCCUUCGGCCGAAACCAAAUGGGAUGUACUCAAAAUCUUGACUUUUGAAAUCAUCUGAGCUUUUCUCGAAUCUUUCUGGUAUAAACUCUUCUGGUUUCUCCCACACUUCAGGGUCCCUAUGAAUCGCCCAGGAAUUAAAGAAAACCAUGAUAUUUGAAGGAAUAUCGUAACCUCCGAUGUUAAUCUUUGACGUUGUUCGUCGAGGAACAAGGAGUGGAACAGCUGGAUGAAGCCUUAAAGUUUCUUUGAUUACACAUUUUAAGUAAUUCAUUUCAUCUACAUCCUUCAUAUCUAUCUUUGCUUUCUUUCCAACCCCAUUUCUUAUCUCUUUUUGAACCUUUUUCAUGACGUUCGGGUUUUUCAUUAGUUCAGCCAUUACCCAUUCUAGCGUUGUUGAAGUUGUAUCAGUUCCAGCAAGAAACAUAUCCUGAAAAAAGGAAACAUGUAUCUGAGUCGUACACAAAUAUCAGCCAUGACAAAUAUAAACAUAAGAUUAAAAAAGUAAGAAAAAAAUAACAAGGACCAGUAUGAUUGCUUUGAUGUUGUCUGGAGUGAGGUCCACCUCAAGCAAGCCAUUUUCUUGGAGUUUGAGCAGAAUAGAAAAAAAGUCCCUUUCUCCAUUGUUUUGAGAAGAUCUAUCUUCUUCACGGAUCUGAUCAAAAAAUGUAUCAAAUUCGUUUUUAACUUGUUUCAAGCUUGAUGUUAAUCCUCGAAGAACAUCAACCCACUUCAAGUAAGGAAACAUGUCGCCAACACAAAAAGUCAUCAUAAGGAUCAAAAGCCUUCUACCCAACAACCCAAACUUGCUUUUCCCAUCUUCGUCGUCGAAUUUUCGACCCAGAGCACUUCUCGAAAUCUGGUUAUUCGAAGCAACCAUCAGCAACUCCGUCAGGUUAACAGCCUCUCCCUUGAAAGAAGCUCGGCGGAGUUUAUCAAUGGUGACUUCAACUUCAUCAUCUCUCAAGAACUGAAACGAGUUAACUCUUCGAAG
RNAcentral lists this long non-coding RNA (6172 nucleotides) under Gossypium barbadense (sea-island cotton). Its description in RNAcentral is "long non-coding RNA (GBAR_LNC011891)". Lineage: Eukaryota; Viridiplantae; Streptophyta; Magnoliopsida; Malvales; Malvaceae. The record is from RNAcentral.